RNAcentral lists this ribosomal RNA (298 nucleotides) under Hysterocrates sp. HYSGI1. RNAcentral describes it as "partial 12S ribosomal RNA". Lineage: Eukaryota; Metazoa; Arthropoda; Arachnida; Araneae; Theraphosidae. The record is from RNAcentral.
UUUUUUCUAUCUCUUAUAGCAUUUAUAUCGCCGUCCAAAGAUAUAAGUUAAAUAUUGUGUCGAUAAAGAUUCCCUUUCACGUCAGGUCGAAAUAAAGCCAAUGUUAUAGCGAGCCGAGUUACAUAUUAUUAUAAUUAAGAUAUUUUAUUCUAAAGAAUGAAGACCCAGGAUUUGAUAGUAAUGUUUAGGUAGUUUCUAAAUGUGAAAACUUUAUCAAGGUGUACAUAUCGCCCGUCGCCCUCAUCUAAAGACGAGGUAAGUCGUAACACAGUUAAUAUACUGGAAAGUGUAUUAAGGG